Molecule: ribosomal RNA, 463 nt
Filed under: uncultured bacterium
Lineage: Bacteria
Description: partial 16S ribosomal RNA
Rfam family: Bacterial small subunit ribosomal RNA
Source: RNAcentral
GAUGAACGCUGACAGAAUGCUUAACACAUGCAAGUCUUUGGCCAAGCUGUGCUUGCACUGCCUAGCCAAGGCGGACGGGUGAGUAACGCGUAAGGAACUUGCCCUGCUGUCAGGGAUAACAGACGGAAACGACUGAUCAGACCUGGUAACGUCAGACGGCCUCACGUCGAGCCUGAUGAAAAGGGAUGCUGCAGGAGAGCCUUGCGUCCUAUUAGCGUGUUGGUGGGGUAACGGCCCACCAAGGCGAUGAUAGGUAGCCGGCCUGAGAGGGUGGACGGCCACGAGGGGACUGAGAUGCGGCCCUGACGCCUACGGGAGGCAGCAGUGGAGAAUAUUGGACCAUGGGGGCAUCCCUGAUCCAGCAAUUCUGUGUGUACGAUGAAGGUUUUCGGAUUGUAAAGUGCUUUCAUCAGGGAAGAAAAAAAUGACGGUACCUGCAGAAGAAGCGACGGCUAACUACGUG